This 1371-nucleotide ribosomal RNA is filed under the name uncultured bacterium. RNAcentral's name for it is "bacterial SSU rRNA". It matches the Rfam family "Bacterial small subunit ribosomal RNA". The record is from RNAcentral.
AGAGUUUGAUCCUGGCUCAGGACGAACGCUGGCGGCGCGCCUAACACAUGCAAGUCGAACGAGCGAGAGAGAGCUUGCUUUCUCAAGCGAGUGGCGAACGGGUGAGUAACGCGUGAGGAACCUGCCUCAAAGAGGGGGACAACAGUUGGAAACGACUGCUAAUACCGCAUAAGCCCACAGCUCGGCAUCGAGCAGAGGGAAAAGGAGCAAUCCGCUUUGAGAUGGCCUCGCGUCCGAUUAGCUAGUUGGUGAGGUAAUGGCCCACCAAGGCGACGAUCGGUAGCCGGACUGAGAGGUUGAACGGCCACAUUGGGACUGAGACACGGCCCAGACUCCUACGGGAGGCAGCAGUGGGGAAUAUUGCACAAUGGGGGAAACCCUGAUGCAGCGACGCCGCGUGGAGGAAGAAGGUCUUCGGAUUGUAAACUCCUGUUGUUGAGGAAGAUAAUGACGGUACUCAACAAGGAAGUGACGGCUAACUACGUGCCAGCAGCCGCGGUAAAACGUAGGUCACAAGCGUUGUCCGGAAUUACUGGGUGUAAAGGGAGCGCAGGCGGGAAGACAAGUUGGAAGUGAAAUCUAUGGGCUCAACCCAUAAACUGCUUUCAAAACUGUUUUUCUUGAGUAGUGCAGAGGUAGGCGGAAUUCCCGGUGUAGCGGUGGAAUGCGUAGAUAUCGGGAGGAACACCAGUGGCGAAGGCGGCCUACUGGGCACCAACUGACGCUGAGGCUCGAAAGUGUGGGUAGCAAACAGGAUUAGAUACCCUGGUAGUCCACACCGUAAACGAUGAUUACUAGGUGUUGGAGGAUUGACCCCUCCAGUGCCGCAGUUAACACAAUAAGUAAUCCACCUGGGGAGUACGACCGCAAGGUUGAAACUCAAAGGAAUUGACGGGGGCCCGCACAAGCAGUGGAGUAUGUGGUUUAAUUCGACGCAACGCGAAGAACCUUACCAAGUCUUGACAUCCUGCGACGGACAUAGAAAUAUGUCUUUCCUUCGGGACGCAGAGACAGGUGGUGCAUGGUUGUCGUCAGCUCGUGUCGUGAGAUGUUGGGUUAAGUCCCGCAACGAGCGCAACCCUUACUGUCAGUUACUACGCAAGAGGACUCUGGCAGGACUGCCGUUGACAAAACGGAGGAAGGUGGGGAUGACGUCAAAUCAUCAUGCCCUUUAUGACUUGGGCUACACACGUACUACAAUGGCGUUAAACAAAGAGAAGCAAGACCGCGAGGUGGAGCAAAACUCAGAAACAACGUCCCAGUUCGGACUGCAGGCUGCAACUCGCCUGCACGAAGUCGGAAUUGCUAGUAAUCGUGGAUCAGCAUGCCACGGUGAAUACGUUCCCGGGCCCCUUGUACACACCGCCCGUC